UUGUAAUGUCGCACCUGGUCCGACAUAGGACUGCAAAGGAUUAAAGAGCUUGUUCUUCACUGUGAACUGUCUUUGUGUCCAUCAUUACUAAGCACAGCAUCACCUCUACACCUGCUCACUGCUACCCACUUUACCACACACAGCUGUUCUUUAUAUUCUACGAUUAUGCAAUUUCCCGGUGUGCAGAUUGCAUAGUUACAUUGUAGUCACUCUGCACUUAAAGAAAUAGAUUAGGUUGCUCUGGAAACUUUCACGAGCUCAUUCGCUGUUACUUCAUUUGUUUUGCAACAUUUAAAAUUAACUAUAAAGCAUGUGUUAUUGAUUUGUGCUGCACUCAUAUCCCUGGUACAUUAUAUACCCUUGCUUCAUAAGGGACACCAAAUGUAUCUCAGUGGGUCUGACUACACACAUUUGUGGGGUAUUCCUACUCUGCUCUCAAAUGUGUAUGGACAAAUCGAUGAAAAUGUAACAUUUAUAUACUGUAUAUGUCACCAAUGUUAGACUAAUGACAAGUGCAAUACUCCAGUGCUGUCUUCCCAAGGCACCUCAUUAACUUCCUUAAGCUACUGGUUGACCGUCUUAUUUUUGUGAUGAAGCAGCUUCCCAGUACAAGAUCAGGAACACCUUUAUGAACAUGUGUCACCAGAAAGCCUCCUCUGGGUCCCUGCUGAGGACUCGUUUACUACCCAUGCUGCAUGGUAACAGCAUUGAGAGAGACUGCAAUGGAGAUGAUGCCUCAGCCUACUCGAGAGAUUUAUAACAACUGAGUAUGACGGACAAUGAUUGGAUGUUCAAAAGAUUGGAACAGGGUAGAUGUGUGUCAUAACACUUCCACCCGAGGCUUUGGAGUUUUGAGAAAACAAGAGCAUCCAGUGCCAUGCUCUUCAUACUCCAUGAACUCUACUGAUGAAUGAACUACACCCUCCUGGGAUAGUUUUGAAGAGCCGAAGGAAAUGUUGGCUUCUACCUCAAUUACUAGACUGUAAUCCAGCCAGCCAAGAGCCUUAUUGGGUUUGCCAAAGAAAAUAUUUUUCUUUAUAGCUUCCUGCAAAGGUUGGACUUUAUUUCCACAGCAGCUGCUCUUUGCCUGACUGUUAAAAGAGUUUCUGGAGGUACAGAGAGGAGAGUAUUUGAUGCCUGCUAAGAGCCUUCAGUCAGGUGCUGCAAAGGGUUCCACCUGCUUUCUACUCGCAAUAGUUCUUACUUUAACCACAACAUUGCCCAGUUUUCAUUUAUUAGUUUCAAGUGCAUUUUUUAAAUCAUCAUUAUGUAAUUAUCAUUGUUUAUAUUCUAAAAUAAUGGCUGUCAUGUGAAUUUCAAUGGAAAAGUGGUUAUUACUAUGGUGUUCCACUUUAAUUUGUUAUUAAUCUGUGGAAUCCUAUUGGAAUGCAUAUACAUGUGUGCCCAUUAUGUUAGUGUUAAAUUAGCUAAAUGCUUGUGCUAGAAAGGUUUUUCUUGUAAGUGGACUUUUUGUUUUAGUUUACGAUCCAAUCCAUACCAUAUUAUACACUGCUAAGGAUCAUUCAACCAGUCGGAGUCCCAGUUUCCUCUGUUGUAUGCCUCAACAAAUCAGUGGAAAAGUGGUUGUUGGUUUGCAUUGUAAUGUUAAAAGAUAAAGGCAAUUUUUGUAAGUUGGUAAAGUUCAAUGUGCUCUAUUAAAAUGAAGGACACCUACAAAAAUCAUGGAAUCCAUAACAGCCAUGACUUAAUCCCAGCCUUAUCUUGGAUCCUUCUAUUUUUAGGGUGCAUACAAACAAAAUUAAUUUCAGAGGGGCAGUUCAUGGCAAAAUCCAAAUUGGAAUAACUUUUUUUCUGGAUUAUACUAAGCACAGUCACAUGCUUUAGAAUAAAUUCUUGUGAUACGCAAAUGCCAACAAUGUAGAAUGUUUCCUAAAAAUGUUCACUUACACCUGAAUUACAGACUUUUGGGCCUAUAUUUUCCAUUAGUAAUUUGCCCACAGUGUGUGUCUGAUUUGCUUUUAACAAGUGAACUGUGACGGAACUGCAUUCUUCCCUUAUAACUUCAAAACGAAUGGUGAUUUCACCAUGCAAUCAAUGUUAUUUUAUUCUGCCAAUAUUGAGAAAUGUGAAUUAAUUGAUGGAGCUGAAAAAAAACAACAAUUCAGUCCUUCUGAGAUAAUGUCUGUUGAUUUUUAAGCAGUAUUGUGGAUAAAAUAAAUCUUCCAUGGAGUUUCUAGUUUAUUUUGAUGUUUGCUCAUUUUCAAACUCUUAAAGUUUGCCGUUCUUUUAAACAAAGCAUGUACUUGUAAGUGAUAUAAAUGAUGACUUAUUGUCAGACUGGACAUUUGAGUAUAGCUCUGGUUUCAGCAGUCUGGUGAAUUUGAAUUGUAAGAGUUUAGAGUUCAUUAACCCAGAUAUGUGUAGCUGCUGAGCUCUACAGUGUCAUCAGGUAAAUGUACAGGUACUUUUUAUAAUUCUAGAUUGUCCUACAUGUUUUAAUGUAUGCUUAUGUUUAAAAGCUUACUUUGAAAAAUGUGUGAACCAAACAUAUUGUUUUCCACCUUUUCCAUUUUUUUUUAAAUUGUUGUUUGUAAAAAACAGAUCAUUUGUCACUAUCAGUGGGUAAAUCAUAGAUUAUUAUUUUACGGGUCUACUUUGGUUUAGGAUUUCUUUUUUUUUUUUUGGAUUGCUAUACCUUGUCUUAUUCAAAGUGAAUUUCAAUGUCCUACAUUCUAAGCGCUCAAUUUACAAAGCCUAACACAAGCUUGCAACCUGCAGUAAUAGUGACAGAGCUCUGAUUUGACAUCACGUCCUCUAUUAAAUCCCAGGUAAUCACACAAACUCUGCCAGUCAGCAUUAACCAAGAGGUUAUAGGAUGUUUGGGCCAGAUGGCUGAAAAAGUUGAUGUCACCGCAUUCAAAUGAACUGUUUCAUUAAAUACCAACAAGUGAAUUGACAAAGUCUAUAUAUUAUG
Long non-coding RNA from Polyodon spathula (Mississippi paddlefish), 2935 nucleotides. RefSeq lists it as uncharacterized. The transcript is spliced from 3 exons. The record is from RefSeq and is a predicted model, not a curated record. NCBI's taxonomy places the organism in Eukaryota, Metazoa, Chordata, Actinopteri, Acipenseriformes, Polyodontidae.